RNAcentral lists this ribosomal RNA (446 nucleotides) under uncultured bacterium. RNAcentral describes it as "partial 16S ribosomal RNA". It matches the Rfam family "Bacterial small subunit ribosomal RNA", at positions 338 to 795 of the family's 1533-position model. The record is from RNAcentral.
CCUACGGGGGGCUGCAGUCGAGAAUCAUUCACAAUGGGGGAAACCCUGAUGGUGCGACGCCGCGUGGGGGAAUGAAGGUCUUCGGAUUGUAAACCCCUGUCAUGUGGGAGCAAAUUAAAAAGAUAGUACCACAAGAGGAAGAGACGGCUAACUCUGUGCCAGCAGCCGCGGUAAUACAGAGGUCUCAAGCGUUGUUCGGAAUCACUGGGCGUAACGCGUGCGUAGGCUGUUUCGUAAGUCGUGUGUGAAAGGCGCGGGCUCAACCCGCGGACGGCACAUGAUACUGCGAGACUAGAGUAAUGGAGGGGGAACCGGAAUUCUCGGGGUAGCAGUGAAAUGCGUAGAUAGCGAGAGGAACACGCGUGGCGAAGGCGGGUUCCUGGACAUUAACUGACGCUGAGGCACGAAGGCCAGGGGAGCGAAAGGGAUUAGAUACCCGAGUAGUC